Molecule: ribosomal RNA, 465 nt
Filed under: uncultured bacterium
Lineage: Bacteria
Description: partial 16S ribosomal RNA
Rfam family: Bacterial small subunit ribosomal RNA
Source: RNAcentral
GACGAACGCUGGCGGCGUGCUUAACACAUGCAAGUCGAACGGAAAGGCCCUGCUUGCAGGGUACUCGAGUGGCGAACGGGUGAGUAACACGUGGGUGAUCUGCCCUGCACUUCGGAAUAAGCCUGGGAAACUGGGUCUAAUACCGGAUAGGAGCCAUUUUUAGUGUGAUGGUUGGAAAGUUUUUUCGGUGUAGGAUGAGCUCGCGGCCUAUCAGCUUGUUGGUGGGGUAAUGGCCUACCAAGGCGGCGACGGGUAGCCGGCCUGAGAGGGUGGACGGCCACAUUGGGACUGAGAUACGGCCCAGACUCCUACGGGAGGCAGCAGUGGGGAAUAUUGCACAAUGGGCGCAAGCCUGAUGCAGCGACGCCGCGUGGGGGAUGACGGCCUUCGGGUUGUAAACUCCUUUCGCUAGGGACGAAGCUUUUUGUGACGGUACCUAGAGAAGAAGCACCGGCUAACUACGUG